UUGGCUUUACCUUAAGCCGGUGCGCGAACCCGCAAGGGACGUAGCCGUCCACGGUAAGGUCAGCGACUGGGGUGAAGUCGUAACAAGGUAGCCGUAGGUAACCUGCAGAAGGAUCA
This 116-nucleotide ribosomal RNA is filed under the name uncultured eukaryote. RNAcentral's name for it is "partial small subunit ribosomal RNA". It matches the Rfam family "Bacterial small subunit ribosomal RNA", at positions 1411 to 1525 of the family's 1533-position model. The record is from RNAcentral.